Molecule: long non-coding RNA, 1217 nt
Filed under: Felis catus (domestic cat)
Lineage: Eukaryota; Metazoa; Chordata; Mammalia; Carnivora; Felidae
Description: lncRNA (ENSFCAG00000053840.1)
Source: RNAcentral
AUUUAUUUAUUUAUUUAUUUAUUUAUUUAGAGAGACAAAGAGAGAGCACGAACAGGGGAGGGGCAGAGAGAGGAGGAGACACAGAAUCCAAAGCAGGCUCUGGGCUCUGAGCCGUCAGCACAGAGCCCGACGCGGGGCUCGAACCCACGGACCGCGAGAUCAUGACCUGAGCUGAAGUUGGACGCUCAACCGACUGAGGCCCCCAGGGAACCCCUUCCGGUCUUUUUAAACAGGUAUGUACUUUCUAUAAAUCAUGACAAGAGGGCACGUUUGCUGUCCUUGAGAACAAGAACGAAGAGAAAGCUACCUAGCAAGUCAGGCUGUGGCCCUUCCCUCCCCCGAGACCCCAUCCACGGCCUCUUCUUCCCCUUCAAACUUCUAUUGCCUUGAACACCCUGGGGGGGCGGGGGCUAGUUUCCACUUUUCAUAAGGCAUCCCGGCCCCCCGCGCUGUCCCCGAGCUGCAGGCCCCGGUGUGCGUCCCCACGUGGGACGGGGAGGCCGGCCUCCGGCGCUCGCCGUGAGCUUCUGGAUGGUAACAGGGCCCUCUGCCAGCUGGAAGGGGGCACACCCUGGGGGUCCGUGCUGCUGGGUCUAGGAAUCCCCCUGCCCCCGCCGAACAGCUUCCCCCACCGCCCGAGGCGGAGGCUCCGGGGUGUUGCUGCCGGAUCUUCGACAAACAACAGGAACGACGGCGGUGAGUUGCGGUCAUUCCUGGAAAGGAUUACUGUGCGACCUUCCAAGGGAACCAGAGAGAUCCACCUGAGCGGACGCAGAGCUGCCCCCAUCAGCCGACGCGCCCAGGCGGCCGCAGGGCGCUGGGGCCAACGGGACCCCGGACGGACGCACACAGGUGCGCGUUUGUGGGCACGCACGCCCGGGGCCGGGGUGCCUCGAACGCUUCUCAUGAAAUGGCUCACUGUUACCGGAGGACAACUAAACACGCUUCUGAAGACGGCAGCUGGGCCACGGGCCAAGGGGAGGAGGCUGGAUGGGUUGCUGGUAAGACCUCCGGCUUCCCCCAGGAGCUCCACGGGGGCCCCCGCUCACUUUCCUGGGGUCCAGACACCACGAUUCUAGCAGGGGGACUGCAGGGGCAGCUGUGGAACCUCAGCCUCCGGCGAUGCUCCUCUCGACCUUCCCCCCAGCCUCCACCGGCCUCCCCCCGGCCUCCCCCCAGCCUCUCCCCAGCCUCCCCCCAGCCUCCAGUGAUGCUCC